UCUAGCUUGCUAGAUGCUGACGAGUGGCGCACGGGUGCGUAACGCGUAUACAAUCUACCUUUAACUGAGGGAUAGCCCAGAGAAAUUUGGAUUAAUACCUCAUAGUAUUAUAAUUAGGCAUCUUUUUAUAAUUAAAACUUCGGUGGUUAAAGAUGAGUAUGCGUACUAUUAGCUAGUUGGUAAGGUAAAAGCUUACCAAGGCAACGAUAGUUAGGGGGCCUGAAAGGGUGAUCCCCCACACUGGUACUGAGACACGGACCAGACUCCUACGGGAGGCAGCAGUGAGGAAUAUUGCACAAUGGAGGAAACUCUGAUGCAGCCAUGCCGCGUGCAGGAAGAAUGCCCUAUGGGUUGUAAACUGCUUUUAUACAAGAAGAAACCUCGGUACGUGUACCGACUUGACGGUAUUGUAUGAAUAAGCACCGGCUAACUCCGUGCCAGCAGCCGCGGUAAUACGGAGGGUGCAAGCGUUAUCCGGAUUUAUUAGGUUUAAAGGGUCCGCAGGCGGAAUAUUAAGUCAGUGGUGAAAGCCUACAGCUCAACUGUAGAACUGCCAUUGAUACUGAUAUUCUUGAGUAUGGAUGA
Molecule: ribosomal RNA, 585 nt
Filed under: uncultured Bacteroidota bacterium
Lineage: Bacteria; Pseudomonadati; Bacteroidota
Description: bacterial SSU rRNA
Rfam family: Bacterial small subunit ribosomal RNA
Source: RNAcentral